GCAGCAGUCGCGAAAACUCCGCAAUGCGCGAAAGCGUGACGGGGCUACCCCGAGUGCCGUCCGCUGAGGAUGGCUUUUCCCCAGUGUAAAGAGCCGGGGGAAUAAGGAGAGGGCAAGUCUGGUGUCAGCCGCCGCGGUAAUACCAGCUCUCCGAGUGGUAGGGACGAUUAUUGGGCUUAAAGCGUCCGUAGCCGGCUUAGCAAGUCUCCUGUUAAAUUCAGCGACUUAAUCGUUGGACUGCGGGAGAUACUGCUAGGCUAGGAGGCGGGAGAGGCCGACGGUAUUCUCAGUGUAGGGGUGAAAUCCUAUAAUCUCGGGAGGAACACCAG
Molecule: ribosomal RNA, 329 nt
Filed under: uncultured crenarchaeote MCG
Lineage: Archaea; Thermoproteati; Thermoproteota
Description: bacterial SSU rRNA
Rfam family: Archaeal small subunit ribosomal RNA
Source: RNAcentral